RNAcentral lists this ribosomal RNA (500 nucleotides) under uncultured bacterium. Its description in RNAcentral is "partial 16S ribosomal RNA". It matches the Rfam family "Bacterial small subunit ribosomal RNA", at positions 30 to 523 of the family's 1533-position model. The record is from RNAcentral.
AUUGAACGCUGGCGGAAUGCUUUACACAUGCAAGUCGAACGGCAGCACGGACUUCGGUCUGGUGGCGAGUGGCGAACGGGUGAGUAAUAUAUCGGAACGUGCCCAGUCGUGGGGGAUAACGUAGUGAAAAUUACGCUAAUACCGCAUACGAUCUAAGGAUGAAAGCGGGGGAUCGCAGGACCUCGCGCGAUUGGAGCGGCCGAUAUCAGAUUAGGUAGUUGGUAGGGUAAAGGCCUACCAAGCCAACGAUCUGUAGCUGGUCUGAGAGGACGACCAGCCACACGGGAACUGAGACACGGGCCAGCCUCCUACGGGAGGCAGCAGUGGGGAAUUUUGGACAAUGGGCGAAAGCCUGAUCCAGCCAUUCCGCGUGCAGGAUGAAGGCCCUCGGGUUGUAAACUGCUUUUGUACAGAGCGAAAAGGUCUCUACUAAUACUAGGGGCUCAUGACGGUACUGUAAGAAUAAGCACCGGCUAACUACGUGCCAGCCGCCGCUGUAA